RNAcentral lists this ribosomal RNA (117 nucleotides) under Periophthalmus magnuspinnatus. The record is from RNAcentral. Lineage: Eukaryota; Metazoa; Chordata; Actinopteri; Gobiiformes; Gobiidae.
UUAUCAGGCCAGACCGCUUUAUCAGUGCCAUCUCAUCUCAUCAGAUCUUGGAAGCUAAGCAGGGUUGGGCCUGGUUAAUUCUUGGAUGGGAGACCCCUGGGAACCAGAUGCCAUAGU